RNAcentral lists this unclassified non-coding RNA (21 nucleotides) under Chlamydomonas reinhardtii. Its description in RNAcentral is "small RNA Cre_3306". The record is from RNAcentral. Lineage: Eukaryota; Viridiplantae; Chlorophyta; Chlorophyceae; Chlamydomonadales; Chlamydomonadaceae.
UGGCGAGCUUCGCAAAUAGAG